UUAUAGGGAGACAGAGCAAGAACUGAGCCCCAUGCAAUAGUUUUUAGCAGCUGGUUUGGGAACUGACACUGCUUUUUAUAACCACCUGUAGUGAACCAGCUUGGAUUAACACAAUCCAAGUGCUUUAGUUUGCUUAUCUCCUGCUGCCUGACUCCUGAGCCUUCAUGAGAGAGGUUAUCUUCCCUUCUUGGCUGACUCUGAAAUGUGUAGCUCUUUCAGAGCGAGUGAGUAAUUUGAGUACAGCAGCUUUCAUGGAGGAGCAGCAGUGUCACUGCCUGCCUACAGCGUCUUCUCUCUGCAAGAAACUUCAGUUGUAGGAGAUGGGGAUCAUUGGUACUCCUUCCCAAGUGGGAAACAUAGUGCUACACCUGAUUGAAUAUUUAAGGAGCUUGAGAGUCACUGUUCA
This 406-nucleotide long non-coding RNA is filed under the name Cyanistes caeruleus (blue tit). Its description in RNAcentral is "lncRNA (ENSCCEG00000009711.1)". Lineage: Eukaryota; Metazoa; Chordata; Aves; Passeriformes; Paridae. The record is from RNAcentral.